Molecule: ribosomal RNA, 253 nt
Filed under: uncultured bacterium
Lineage: Bacteria
Description: partial 16S ribosomal RNA
Rfam family: Bacterial small subunit ribosomal RNA
Source: RNAcentral
UACGGAGGAUCCAAGCGUUAUCCGGAUUUAUUGGGUUUAAGGGGUGCGUAGGCGGAUUGAUAAGUUAGAGGUGAAAUGUCCGAGCUCAACUCGGGAACUGCCUCUAAUACUGUUGAUCUAGAGAGUAGAUGCGGUAGGCGGAAUGUAUGGUGUAGCGGUGAAAUGCUUAGAGAUCAUACAGAACACCGAUUGCGAAGGCAGCUUACCAAUCUAUAUCUGACGUUGAGGCACGAAAGCGUGGGGAGCAAACAGG